UAGGAAAGUCAUAAAUAUAUAAAUUAAAAUAUAUUAUUAUCCAUCAUAAUAAUAACAAACAGUAAAAUUAUAAAAUUAUAAAAUUAUAAAAUUAUAAAAUGAGAGUAAAAUAAUGUGAUAGUGGAUAAUAAUAUAUUUUAUAAUAAAGUAAUAAAUAUAAAUAAAUAAUAAUGGAAAUAUAAUACUUAUAUAAUUAACAUUUAUAAAAAUAAGUAUAGUAUAUAACUUAAUAAAUAUAAAUUAAACAAAUAUAAAAAAAAUCCUUUUUUUUUUAUAUAAUAGGUAUUUCAACCACUCAUAUUAAUAUGUUUAGGUUGUACUUAUAAUAAUAGUUAUAUAUAUAUAUUUAUAUUAUUCUUAUAUAAAUAUGUAAAGAAUAAUAUAUUAAUUAUAUAUAUUAAAAAAAAAUUUAAUAUAUAAUUAAAUAAUAUUACGUAUUCCCUAAAUUAUUAUGUAUAUAAUUUUAAUAAUUAAUGGGAGAGUAAUUAUAAUAUACAAAAAUAUGCUUAA
This 510-nucleotide non-coding RNA is filed under the name Torulaspora pretoriensis. Lineage: Eukaryota; Fungi; Ascomycota; Saccharomycetes; Saccharomycetales; Saccharomycetaceae. The record is from RNAcentral.